CCUACGGGAGGCAGCAGUGAGGAAUAUUGGUCAAUGGACGCAAGUCUGAACCAGCCAUGCCGCGUGCAGGAAGACGGCUCUAUGAGUUGUAAACUGCUUUUGUACGAGGGUAAACGCAGAUACGCGUAUCUGUCUGAAAGUAUCGUACGAAUAAGGAUCGGCUAACUCCGUGCCAGCCGCCGCGGUAAUACGGAGGAUUCAAGCGUUAUCCGGAUUUAUUGGGUUUAAAGGGUGCGUAGGCGGUCGGAUAAGUUAGAGGUGAAAUCCCGAGGCUCAACUUCGGAAUUGCCUCUGAUUGUGGUCGGCUAGAGAGUAGUUGCGGUAGGCGGAAUGUAUGGUGUAGCGGUGAAAUGCUUAGAGAUCAUACAGAACACCGAUUGCGAAGGCAGCUUACCAAGCUACUUCUGACGUUGAGGCACGAAAGCGUGGGGAGCAAACAGGAUUAGAGACCCCAGUAGUC
This 460-nucleotide ribosomal RNA is filed under the name uncultured bacterium. Its description in RNAcentral is "partial 16S ribosomal RNA". It matches the Rfam family "Bacterial small subunit ribosomal RNA", at positions 338 to 795 of the family's 1533-position model. The record is from RNAcentral.